UUCUCGGGUUCUCUCUCUAGCCAAUUAGUACCACUCCAUCCACUUUUCCCCUUCUUUCUCCCUCCGGUCCGGUGGAUCUCCAGCCACCCAGGCCCGAGCCAUGGGCGGAGACGGCGACUUCAACGCCGCAGGCGGCGGAAGGGGGGUUGCGGGUCGGAGGCGUGGGCGGCAAGUGCGAGGCAGCCGCGGGCGGGAGACGCAGGGCGGCGCCCCGGCCCGAAGGCCGCGGCAGGAGUUCGUCGCCGAGGGCCCGAGGCGGCAAGUGCGAGGCAGCCGCGGGCGGAAGACGCAGAGCGCCGCCCCGGCCCGGAGAGGUCGCGGCAGGAUUUCGUCGCCGAGGGCCCGAGGCGGAGCGCACGGGGUCGGCAGGCGCAGCGCCGGCGAGUUGCUGGAGUAAGGAUUGUGCAGCGGCGAGGAGGCGCUGGCUGCUUCCGCUUCCGCAACACGAAGGCGACGAUGCGCGAGUCCCGGCCUCGUCCAGAUCAUCCAUCGCCAAUUCGCCAGGUAGUAGAUCACCAUUGAGAGGUGCUGCUUCUAAGGUGUAAAAUCCAUCCAGGUACCUAAACCUAC
This 570-nucleotide ribosomal RNA is filed under the name Triticum aestivum (bread wheat). RNAcentral's name for it is "partial small subunit ribosomal RNA". Lineage: Eukaryota; Viridiplantae; Streptophyta; Magnoliopsida; Poales; Poaceae. The record is from RNAcentral.